This 460-nucleotide ribosomal RNA is filed under the name uncultured bacterium. RNAcentral's name for it is "partial 16S ribosomal RNA". It matches the Rfam family "Bacterial small subunit ribosomal RNA", at positions 338 to 795 of the family's 1533-position model. The record is from RNAcentral.
CCUACGGGAGGCAGCAGUGAGGAAUAUUGGUCAAUGGACGAGAGUCUGAACCAGCCAAGUAGCGUGAAUGAUGACUGCCCUAUGGGUUGUAAACUUCUUUUAUAUGGGAAUAAAACGUUCCACGUGUGGGAUUUUGUAUGUACCAUAUGAAUAAGGAUCGGCUAACUCCGUGCCAGCAGCCGCGGUAAUACGGUGGAUCCGAGCGUUAUCCGGAAUUGUUGGGGUUAAAGGGAGCGUAGGUGGAUUGUUAAGUCAGUUGUGAAAGUGUGCGGCUCAACCGGAACAUUGCAGUUGAAACUGGAAGUCUAGAGUACAGGAGAGGUGAGCGGAAUUCGUGGUGUAGCGGUGAAAUGCUUAGAUAUCACGAAGAACUCCGAUGGCGAAGGCAGUUCACUGGACUGCAACUGACACUGAGGCUCGAAAGUGUGGGUAUCAAACAGGAUUAGAUACCCGUGUAGUC